GAUGAACGCUAGCGGGAGGCUUAACACAUGCAAGUCGAGGGGCAGCAUAGGGUAGCAAUACUCUGAUGGCGACCGGCAAACGGGUGAGUAACGCGUAUGCAACCUACCCUGUACAGGGGGAUAACCCGGAGAAAUUCGGACUAAUAUCCCGUAAUAAUAUCCGGAGGCAUCUUUGGAUAUUUAAAGUUCCGACGGUACGGGAUGGGCAUGCGUAACAUUAGCUGGUUGGUAAGGUAACGGCUUACCAAGGCUAUGAUGUUUAGGGGUCCUGAGAGGGUGGUCCCCCACACUGGUACUGAGACACGGACCAGACUCCUACGGGAGGCAGCAGUGAGGAAUAUUGGUCAAUGGGCGCAAGCCUGAACCAGCCAUCCCGCGUGCAGGAAGACGGCCCUAUGGGUUGUAAACUGCUUUUCCAGGGAGAGAAACUUACGCACGUGUUGCGUGACUGACGGUACCCUGGGAAUAAGCAUCGGCUAACUCCGUGCCAGCAGCCGCGGUAAACACGGAGAGUA
RNAcentral lists this ribosomal RNA (515 nucleotides) under uncultured bacterium. RNAcentral's name for it is "bacterial SSU rRNA". It matches the Rfam family "Bacterial small subunit ribosomal RNA", at positions 28 to 534 of the family's 1533-position model. The record is from RNAcentral.